MicroRNA precursor from Bison bison bison, 78 nucleotides. The record is from Ensembl. NCBI's taxonomy places the organism in Eukaryota, Metazoa, Chordata, Mammalia, Artiodactyla, Bovidae.
GAGUGAGGGAUGGGCUUGGGCAGUGAGGACUGGGGGUCCAGCCCAUCUCCCACUCCUUACCCCUGGCCGUCCCUCCUU